Molecule: transfer RNA, 66 nt
Filed under: Microcaldota archaeon
Lineage: Archaea; Nanobdellati; Microcaldota
Description: Candidatus Micrarchaeota archaeon (hot springs metagenome) tRNA-Ser
Rfam family: tRNA
About the family: Transfer RNA (tRNA) molecules are approximately 80 nucleotides in length.
Source: RNAcentral
GCCGCGGUAGCUCAGAGCUUCUUGCUGGAAACCGAAGGGUCGUCGGUUCAACUCCGACCCGCGGCA